GGAGGCGUGGCAGAGCGGACUAAUGCGGCGGUCUUGAAAACCGUUGUCCUUUACGGGACCAGGGGUUCAAAUCCUCUCGCCUCCGCCA
This 88-nucleotide transfer RNA is filed under the name Candidatus Kaelpia aquatica. RNAcentral describes it as "tRNA-Ser". It matches the Rfam family "tRNA". Rfam says of the family: Transfer RNA (tRNA) molecules are approximately 80 nucleotides in length. Their secondary structure includes four short double-helical elements and three loops (D, anti-codon, and T loops). Lineage: Bacteria; Pseudomonadati; Candidatus Omnitrophota. The record is from RNAcentral. RNAcentral also lists the same sequence under 1 other name.